UUCUCCUACGGGAGGCAGCAGUGAGGAAUAUUGGUCAAUGGCCGAGAGGCUGAACCAGCCAAGUCGCGUGAGGGAAGACGGCCCUACGGGUUGUAAACCUCUUUUGUCGGGGAGCAAAGCGAGUCACGUGUGACUCAUUGAGAGUACCCGAAGAAAAAGCAUCGGCUAACUCCGUGCCAGCAGCCGCGGUAAUACGGAGGAUCCGAGCGUUAUCCGGAUUUAUUGGGUUUAAAGGGAGCGUAGAUGGGUUGUUAAGUCAGUUGUGAAAGUUUGCGGCUCAACCGUAAAAUUGCAAUUGAUACUGG
This 305-nucleotide ribosomal RNA is filed under the name uncultured bacterium. Its description in RNAcentral is "bacterial SSU rRNA". It matches the Rfam family "Bacterial small subunit ribosomal RNA", at positions 334 to 636 of the family's 1533-position model. The record is from RNAcentral.